This 253-nucleotide ribosomal RNA is filed under the name uncultured bacterium. RNAcentral describes it as "partial 16S ribosomal RNA". It matches the Rfam family "Bacterial small subunit ribosomal RNA", at positions 524 to 776 of the family's 1533-position model. The record is from RNAcentral.
UACGUAGGGCGCAAGCGUUAUCCGGAAUUAUUGGGCGUAAAGAGCUCGUAGGCGGUUUGUCGCGUCUGCCGUGAAAGUCCGGGGCUCAACUCCGGAUCUGCGGUGGGUACGGGCAGACUAGAGUGAUGUAGGGGAGACUGGAAUUCCUGGUGUAGCGGUGAAAUGCGCAGAUAUCAGGAAGAACACCAAUGGCGAAGGCGGGUCUCUGGGCCGAAAUUGACGCUGAGGAGCGAAAGCGUGGGGAGCAAACAGG